GUCUACGGCCAUGCCAUCCUGAACAAACUCGAUCCCGUCUGAUCUCGGAAGCUCAGCAGGGUCGGGCCUGGUUAGUACUCGGAUGGGAGACCACCUAGGAAGACCAGGUGCUGUAGGCU
This 119-nucleotide ribosomal RNA is filed under the name Pteropus alecto (black flying fox). The record is from RNAcentral. Lineage: Eukaryota; Metazoa; Chordata; Mammalia; Chiroptera; Pteropodidae.